Brienomyrus brachyistius is the source of this 259-nucleotide long non-coding RNA. RefSeq lists it as uncharacterized. Lineage: Eukaryota; Metazoa; Chordata; Actinopteri; Osteoglossiformes; Mormyridae. The transcript is spliced from 3 exons. The record is from RefSeq and is a predicted model, not a curated record.
CAGAGCGUGUGUCUUAUUAUCCGUUAGAGGCUCGGAAAACAGAGCGGGACAGAGUGGCACCUGGGGAAAAACGCGGCAGCCACAGACACGCGGGAUCCGUCCCUGACUGCCGCUGGAAUCAAGGAAGAGAGAUACAGCUAAGCCAUGGGACCUGCCAAAACACACACCUGCGGGGUGGAGCUCAUCAAAGGCGCCCAUUCACCUGAUCCCGAGGAGACAGACUGGAGGCGGAGCAGACGGCAGCGGGGGCAGCAGGGCA